Scophthalmus maximus (turbot) is the source of this 2494-nucleotide long non-coding RNA. RefSeq lists it as uncharacterized. The record is from RefSeq and is a predicted model, not a curated record. The transcript has 3 exons. NCBI's taxonomy places the organism in Eukaryota, Metazoa, Chordata, Actinopteri, Pleuronectiformes, Scophthalmidae.
UGACGUGCGCUUCCCCUGUGUAUGAGGGGCGGUUAGUGCCACAGUGGGCGGCUGACGGGGAGAAUGAUUGGCAGCUGAGACUGACUUGCGAUUGGUUGAUGUGGAGAUAUAUAUAUAUACAUAUAUAUAUAUAUAUAUAACAUAUAUACAUAUAUAUGUAUAUAUAUAACAUAUAUAUAUAUACAUAUAUAUAUAUCUAUCUCAACUGGACCUUGAUAGAUGCAGAUCCUACUCACCGUCACUACAGGGCAGACUCUGGCUCCGAAUGACUUUGAACGCCCAAGAUGGUGGCAUCCCGUAUCUGGAAUAUUUGGGCUUCCUCUUUUUGUACGAUGGGACGGAGUUGAGACGCGUCGUUCAUCUUUACACACAGUCUAUGGCUUGCUUGCCUUUCAUGCCACAGGAGAAACAUUGACCAAAAAAAAAAUGCUCAAUGAAAGCUACAGUGUGUAAUAUUUAGAAGAAUUUAUUCACAGAAAUUCUAUAUAUUGUCCAUAACUUUGUAUAAUUGCCUGCAACAAAGAAGCAAUGUUUUUUCGUCAACUUUUGAAUGUGUUAAAUAUAGUUACAUGAGUUGGAUCCGACCUCCGCGUAAGUCGCCAUGUUUGCUGCGUCGUGUUCAAUACGUCGCAUCUGCGUUGAAUUUUUCAGCGCUGCCAGAAACUGGGAAAAUGAAAUCAGCGGUGCGCCACCAUAACGUGUCCCCUGUUGGUUGCUCAGUUGUUUGCGGUUUGCAACUUUACCAACCUGAUAAAUUAAGUAAGGUUUAUAUUUAUAAAAAAAGGAAACUGGUAUGUGUCUGAAUCAAUGUAGGGAAGAGCUUCAUUGUUUUCAUUUAGGUUUUCUCAACAAAAAAAAAUCUGCCCAGCCUUAUUGUGUUAAUGUGAACAUAGGAUAUGUCCCUUGUGCAUAGUGUCAAAUGAGUGGCAUGCACUGAGGCAGCUGAUUGACUUUGGUACACGAAUGAAGGAAUUAGUUUUAUUUUUCUAUUUCAUACUUAUCUUUAUUAGCCCAUGAAGGUUGACUUGCAAGCCCAUUAUCAUUAGAUAACAUAGCAUUCCAAACAUAUUUCCCCAUCAUGUCCACACAUUGGUUAAUUUCCCCCCCCCCCAAAAAAUAGCUCACAUUAUUAUAUUUUCACAAUGCUGUCUUCUAAGCUGUUUGUCUCUUCGAAUUGCAGCAGCAGUGUCAAGAGAAUAGCAACUUUUUUUCUUAAGAUAAAUCUGUGGCGUUGAUCACCCCUCUUACUCGCAGGUACGCUAAGGGCAGCCAGGGCGUGUUUGAACCUGAACGCAUCAGACCAAACCCAAAAAGCUGUGACAGACAGAUUCCCCGCUCACCUCAGAUGAGAAUUCCUCCAGAGGAAUGCAGUUCCUCAGCCAGCAGCACGUGUCACAGGAACCAAACAGCUUUACCCAAAACCUUCUAGCGUAAGGAAAAAUGGCAUGUGGCACAGCACAAAAACAAUAAAUGAAAAGUAAAAACAAAAAAUUAAUGACGAACAGUAGUUGGCAUUCAACCCUGCGACAGAACACUGGUUAGACAGAACAUUGGAACCGACUCAAAAGUCUACGUCUCAGUAAAAAGUGUCCCUGCUGACUGAGCACACAAAAGGACUUUUACACAACAUACUGUAGUUAUCGCCUGAUGUAUUUCAGAUGGACUGAGUUCUGCCACCUCAGUGAAGUUCUGUCUACUGUAGGGUUAUUGACUUCUUCAGUUCCACAUGAAAGACAGACAUACAAGUCCUGAACCCCCCCUAAUUACAUCCACUCAGUCUCCUUAACUUCAAGACACAUUUCCAGCUGUCUAUCAAUCCCUCCCUGUCAAUAUGCAGGAACUCACCUCGCUCAGUAAGGCCUGUUGGCGUCCUUGGGCCUCUUCAGCUGCACCUUCAGUCUCUUCAUGCCGAUCUGGAAGCCGUUCAUGGCCUGGAUGGCAGUCUGGGCACUGGACGGGUUGUCAAAACUCACAAAACCUGAGGAGGAAAAGAUUGAAUGAAAGAAGCAAAUACAAACAUCCGUGCGGCGGCAACGGCAGCAGAAAGCAAAUCAAUGUAAAAUUACGUGUAUGGGUGAAAAUGUGUCUUUUAUCACAAAACACACUGUGACAGUAAUCAUCACAGACACGACCAUGUCUGUUGCCACCACUGCGACUCACCGAAGCAUUUGCUCUGAUUGGUGGCGCGGUCAACAAACACCUUCGCGGAGAUGACGUUUCCAAAGGGCAGGAACAUCUGCAGUAUCUCGGAGUCGGUGAACUCCUGUGGCAGGUGGUAGAUGAAGAUGUUACAGCCCUCGGGUCCUGUACGCAAAGACGGGAGCGAGACAAGGACACGGGAAGGACAUGACAUGACAAGACAAGACGAAACAAGACAGAGCUGGUUAGGAGAUUAGUUAAAACUGCUAAUGAUUAGACACUUGGAAAAUUGAGUUGCAACAAAAAAAGAGAAGAGAAGGGGAAGACAUCAAAUCAAAUAUUAAAAGCAGAUUAA